AUAUACUGUAUUUUAAUCCUUGUGUCAAUACAUCCACGUUAUGCACGAGAUUUUGCAUAAAUCGCACGGACUAUCCGCAUGUCGAACUCGGUGUCGACGAUUCCUACAAGUGACUAUGUAUACAGCGCAUUAUACAGAUUCAUACUACCAAUGUUUCAUAUAUCGAACAGCUGACAAUCUCUACUAAGUUGACUAACUGGCGGAACGACGAAACUGAAACAUCAAAUUUUAUUUAAUACAUUUUAUUGUCAUGACAACUAAUAUGAAUAAUUAAACACUGUUAUAAUACUUUUUCUGUCGUUCUUUAUUAUACUUUAUUUUGUAGUUAUUAUAUUAAUAAAAUCAUUUCUUAUAUCUCGACAAACC
This 366-nucleotide unclassified non-coding RNA is filed under the name Bombus terrestris (buff-tailed bumblebee). Its description in RNAcentral is "misc RNA ENSBTSG00005022681.1". The record is from RNAcentral. Lineage: Eukaryota; Metazoa; Arthropoda; Insecta; Hymenoptera; Apidae.